Molecule: ribosomal RNA, 450 nt
Filed under: uncultured bacterium
Lineage: Bacteria
Description: partial 16S ribosomal RNA
Rfam family: Bacterial small subunit ribosomal RNA
Source: RNAcentral
AGUGAACGCUGGCGGCGUGCCUAAUACAUGCAAGUCGAACGGUAACAGGAAGUAGCUUGCUACUUUGCUGAUUAGUGGCGCACGGGUGAGUAAUGCAUAGGUCAUGUGCCCCAUAGUCUGGGAUAGCCACUGGAAACGGUGAUUAAUACUGGAUACUCCCGAGAGGGGAAAGUUUUUCGCUAUGGGAUCAGCCUAUGUCCUAUCAGCUUGUUGGUGAGGUAAUGGCUCACCAAGGCUAUGACGGGUAUCCGGCCUGAGAGGGUGAACGGACACACUGGAACUGAGACACGGUCCGAACUCCAACGGAAGGCAGCAGAAGGGAUAAUGCCUCAAUGGGGAAACCCUGAAGCAGCAACGCCGCGUGGAGGAUGAAGGUCUUCGGAUUGUAAACUCCUUUUCUAAGAGAAGAUUAUGACGGUAUCUUAGGAAUAAGCACCGGCUAACUCCGUG